RNAcentral lists this unclassified non-coding RNA (4369 nucleotides) under Hevea brasiliensis (rubber tree). Lineage: Eukaryota; Viridiplantae; Streptophyta; Magnoliopsida; Malpighiales; Euphorbiaceae. The record is from RNAcentral.
AUUUCAACCAAUCUGAAUGCGCAUAAACAGGCAACCAUGGAGGGGUCUUUAGUUCUAUGCCCAUCACCGAUUAUAGGCCACAUAAUAUCCAUGGUAGAGCUUGGCAAGAUCAUACUCCCUUUUCAUUCAUAUACUCGUUGUCUUCGCCCCUCGCAGUGUCGAUCCACUGUCUCUUAUUUGCUCGAAAUGUUGCUUAUGUAUCUGUUGGCAACGAGCUGAAUGUAUUAUUGCAUAUUUACUAAUGCCCCGAUUGAUCAAAGCCUCAUGAUGGAUUUCUUUGUUGAAAAUUUAUUAUUAUGGUUUCAUUUUAACUUUUUAUGUUUUGAUUGUUGAAUACUAAUUCUUAGAGGUUUAAUUGUGAUCGCAUUUAUACUACAAAUCUUGGCGCAAGUGCCGGAACAUGAUUGCUUUCUCACAUCACCCUCAACACACAUGGUUGCAGGUGUGUCUUCUAUACUCAUGGGAGUGAUGGGCUCUCAUUUCUUGACGUCGAAAAAGAUAUUUCCUGCAGAUGUUGUAUCUCUGUUCGUUGGUAAUGAUUGAUGGCUACAUUCAUGGAGUUCUGUGAAUUUACUGCAAAUGUUUAAUAGUUGAGGGACUUAUUAGGAUAGAAAAAAAUUUUAAGGGCUUUUUUACCAGAAAAAGGCUUUUGGCUAAAUUAAUAAAUGUUCAUGUGGUGGAGGCCCUCGUAUUCAGAAAAGGAACUCUCUGCAACUGAAAUCCUAAACCCCUUCACUGUAAUCUCUCAAGCAAUGAGCCCCAACGAUUCACCUAUUCAAAACCAUGAACAUGAACAGCCUCAACUCUCCAAUCCUGAAUCAACGGGCUCCAACGGUGGCGAUAACCGGGGGGAGAAGCGAAAGCGAGAGGAGACAGCGCAAUCAGAAAUGGAAGAAAAAGUUGACCCUUCACUUAAUCCGUACUAUAAAACCUCCCUCUGUUCGUAUUUCAGGCGGCGCUCGGGAUCCUGCUGCCACGGCAUUAAGUGCAGGUACGCGCACGGCGAGGACGAGCUCCGUCCUCGGCCUGAUAACACUUGGGACCCAACCUCCGAGCGGGCGAAAAAAGCGAUGAAAUUGGAGGAUAAUGGUGAUAAAUGUGAGGAGAGGAAAGCGGAGGAGGUUAUGAUGACUGAAUGGCUUGUUGAUGUUGGUGAGGGUGGUGAAGGUGAGUGUUUGGAUCCAGGGCGUAGUAAGUGCUUGGUACAUCUACCCAGGAAGUGGACUUCGGAUAACCUGAGGAGCUUUCUCAAUGAGCAAGGUGUUUUCUUCAAAAUGGCAAAGAAAAAGAAAGGCGUGGUUGUAGGUUUUGUGACUUUUGACACAGCUGACCAAUUGAAAAUAGCAAGUGAGGAGCUGGAAGGAAGAACUAUUGGCAACAAGAAAAUGAAGGUUGCUGAUGUGGUCCUCCGAUCACAUGACAAGAAAAUAAAAUCUGCCAUGGCCGGUGACAUUGACAAUUCAAGUACCAAGGCAAAAAGUGCCCGUGAUAUAGUGACUCCCCUUGCUCAUAUGCCAUAUGAAGAGCAGUUGGAGCACAAGAAGAACUCUAUUAUGCAAAUGCUAAAAAAACUUCUUAGAAACACUUACUCCUUUAUUAUUUUAUAAUUUCAAAAUACCAUAUCUUGGAUUCUGACAUCUUAGCAAACUGAACUUUUACAUUUUUAUCACAGGCUAGAAAUGCACGUAAAGCAUGUCCAAAUGGCAUUUCUUUGCCUGAAUGGGUUCUCAAGUCCAGGGAAAUAGGUUGUAUUUCCAUUCUAAAUUUCCAAAAGCCAUCAUUCCAGAAUCCGGGGAGCUACUCUGUUUGUUAUAACAAUAUUUUCCUGAUAGUUCAAGGAGGCGUUUGCUUAUGAAAUUUUUGCUUCAAAACAUUUUUACUUGCUUUUGUUUCUUUUGCUUCCAUUCUAAUUCAAUACUGUAUGAGAUUGUCAGGGACUCUGAUGACUCCUUUUUUAUUAUUAUUAUUUUUGUAAUCUAUUUUUUAAAAUUUCAUAGGUGGUCUUGCCUGCAAACUUGAGGGUAUACUGGAAUCACCACUUGUGAAUGGUUACUGUAAUAAAUGCAAGUUUUCAGUGGGAUACUCUCUUGAGGGAAAACCUAUUGUUGGGUUUAUGCUAGGAAAUUUUAGGUAAUUUUUUCUCCCUCUCUCCGUGUCACGGAUGAGGCUUUGCCCACCAUCACUAUUGUUGUUGAAAACUUAGCACAAUAUAUUCAGAGAUGGGGUGACAGCUGUAGAAGAACCUGUUGACUGCCCAAAUGUUUCUAGUAUUGCUUGCGUGUAUGCUUCCAUUUUUCAGGAAUUUUUGCAACAAUCAGGCUUGCUAAUUUGGAACAGAUUUAAGAAUACUGGAUUCUGGCGUCAAUUAACGGUCCGAGAAGGAAGAUUAUCAGAGAAAGAUGCUGAUGUUGAAAACCCUGAAGGGAACUUAUCAGAGGUCAUGCUUAUUGUUCAGGUUUGCUCCACUGGCUUUGAAGAUGAAGAAAUGAACGGUGAACUUGCAAAGUUGGCUGUUGAAUUUGCUUUUGAAGCUGAAGCAAAUUAUUUGCCUUUCACGGUUUUGGUUCCUCAGUAUUACCAAGGAAUAUCAAGUGUUGCGCUAGCGGAUGCUCCAUUGCGUGUUUUUUUCUGUUUAAGACGUGAAAGUAGCUCUGAAGUGGAGACAGCCAAGAACAUGGUCGAAGGAAGAAUUCAUGAUCAUAUAAGCAAUCUUCGUUUCUCCAUAUCACCAACAGCAUUUUUCCAAGUUUGGACCUCAGAUUUUAUACCUGUCUUGCAUGACUGAAAAUUUUUGCUGGUGCCAUAGGAUAUUUUACAUCUGUAACAAUACUACAGGUUAACACACUAGCUGCAGAGAAACUGUAUUCACUUGCUGGAGAUUGGGCUGGUUUGGGUCCUGACACCUUGCUGUUUUGAUGUAUGCUGUGGGACUGGAACAAUUAGGCUCACUUUAGCACAUCGAGUUGGGAUGGUUGUUGGAAUUGAAAUGAAUGCUUCUGCAGUUUCAGAUGCUCACUGGAAUGCUGAAAUUAAUGGCAUAAAAAACUGUAGAUUUGUUUGUGGAAAGGCAGAGAAUGUGAUGGCAUCUUUAUUGAAGGAGUACUUAAAUGGGCCUCAGAGACAAGAUGAGCCAAAUUCUUGUGAAAGGAAUAAGAAUGACCUUACUACAGACAAAAAUAAAGUUACUCUUGUGGAUAAUGUGCUAGACGAUAAUGAUAACUCAAGCCAUAAGCUUGAUGAUUGUAAAGGUGCUUCUGGCUGUCCAGAAAAUGGUGGACAAGAACACCAAAGCAAACUUCAGAAGAGUUGUUCCUCAGAAGAUGGGAGUUCAUCCAUCCCACAAUUUAAAAAUAUUGUUGCUAUUGUUGAUCCUCCCUGUAGCUGACUUCAUCCCAUUGUGAGUAUCGCCCUGGUAUUAUGUAAGCAUUGCUUUUGGUACCGCAGGUCUGGCACUAUCGAAGUUGACAUGGUUUUUAUUUUAUUCGUUAAUCAUGGAAAGCUACUUAUAGUCCAUCAAUCAUGGUUCUUAUAUUAAUCCAACCCAGCCUUUCAUUUUCGAACUCAAAUUCUUUUGCAAUCUGGAAUUGAUCUUGGAGUUUAUAACUGCAAGUUGCAACAUAGCUACAUUAGUGAGUUUCUCCCAUCUGAGAUUUGUGGUUCAAAUAAUGCUCAAUUGUGUAUCUGAAAUUCCCUCUGAAUCCUUGGUAGUGAUCAUCACUAAUAGAGUGUAAUAUGAGAUUCCUCAAAACUCGUGGUUUUCUUGUAUUCCUCAGCAGUUUUGCCCAAGUGGUGCCCUGCUCUGAAUGGGAGAUAAAUGUUGAAUUUCCAACCUGCUAAUUUAUGCCCUUCGAAACAUUAGAAGCUUAAUACUAAUGGUUAGUAUUUGUUCAAAAUGCAGUUGAUCAAAGUUCUGAGAACUCAUUCACAUCUACGUCGACUUGUGUUAGUUCCAUGUUCUACUUCCCUUAUUAUUUUGGUUAAUACAUACAGUUCAGUGCUAUUCUAACUUCACUGGUUUGGUGUUUUGUAGUUAUAUUUCCUGUAAUCCCGAAACCUUAGUAGCAAAUGCUAUUGAGCUGUGCACACCAUCACCCAAUAAAAUAGAGAAAGGGAAUAAAAAUAACCGGGGAUGGAGAAACAUGAGCAGCGCUGGUUUGGCACGCCACAGAGCGAAGUCUAUGCCCAUUUCAGAACCUUUUCGACCUGUAAAAGCUAUGGCUGUUGACCUCUUCCCACAUACCACACACUGUGAAAUGGUGAUGCUCCUUGAGAGGUAACUAGGCCAUUCACACAUCCUAUUAUUUGUUCCGCAGCAAAGAAUUGACGAAAGUUCAGUCAAGUUACAUUUAAAUUUUGAUAGAUAGGUUCU